AGUCAUCAACCCUUCCCGUUUUGAAUGCGGGACGGGUUGGAUCUGGGGGCGUGCCGCUGCGAAGCGGCUCCCUUCAAAUGCAUCGGUUGGACCUGUGGGUCGAACUCGACUGGGCGUUGUAACAUCCUCGCUCUACCGAGAGGUUCCCCUUUGGCGUCCUCCCACGACUCGCCUGUGGAGCGGCGGUCAACUUGCUCUGAA
Molecule: unclassified non-coding RNA, 201 nt
Filed under: uncultured Basidiomycota
Lineage: Eukaryota; Fungi; Basidiomycota
Also listed under: 1 other name
Description: sequence contains ITS2
Source: RNAcentral